Molecule: ribosomal RNA, 413 nt
Filed under: uncultured bacterium
Lineage: Bacteria
Description: bacterial SSU rRNA
Rfam family: Bacterial small subunit ribosomal RNA
Source: RNAcentral
GUGCCAGCAGCCGCGGUAAUACGGAGGGGGUUAGCGUUGUUCGGAAUUACUGGGCGUAAAGCGUACGUAGGCGGAUUAGUCAGUCAGAGGUGAAAUCCCAGGGCUCAACCCUGGAACUGCCUUUGAUACUGCUAGUCUUGAGUUCGAGAGAGGUGAGUGGAAUUCCAAGUGUAGAGGUGAAAUUCGUAGAUAUUUGGAGGAACACCAGUGGCGAAGGCGGCUCACUGGCUCGAUACUGACGCUGAGGUACGAAAGUGUGGGGAGCAAACAGGAUUAGAUACCCUGGUAGUCCACACCGUAAACGAUGAAUGCCAGUCGUCGGGCAGUAUACUGUUCGGUGACACACCUAACGGAUUAAGCAUUCCGCCUGGGGAGUACGGUCGCAAGAUUAAAACUCAAAAGAAUUGACGGGG